UACGAAGGGGGCUAGCGUUGCUCGGAAUCACUGGGCGUAAAGGGUGCGUAGGCGGGUCUUUAAGUCAGGGGUGAAAUCCUGGAGCUCAACUCCAGAACUGCCUUUGAUACUGAGGAUCUUGAGUUCGGGAGAGGUGAGUGGAACUGCGAGUGUAGAGGUGAAAUUCGUAGAUAUUCGCAAGAACACCAGUGGCGAAGGCGGCUCACUGGCCCGGUACUGACGCUGAGGCGCGAAAGCGUGGGGAGCGAACAGG
This 253-nucleotide ribosomal RNA is filed under the name uncultured bacterium. RNAcentral describes it as "partial 16S ribosomal RNA". It matches the Rfam family "Bacterial small subunit ribosomal RNA", at positions 524 to 776 of the family's 1533-position model. The record is from RNAcentral.